RNAcentral lists this unclassified non-coding RNA (1885 nucleotides) under Yarrowia lipolytica. Lineage: Eukaryota; Fungi; Ascomycota; Dipodascomycetes; Dipodascales. The record is from RNAcentral.
GCCGGAGGUUGGGCCCUAUCCCCGGGCGUGUACAAAGGCCGUAUUGCAGCUGUGGGGGCCACGUCGGACGCACGGAAGGUGUGGGGGAGGAUAUGGGGACUACGAGCCGGCGUUCACGGGACAGAAGGGUGGUGAGUGAGAGGCGCAGGUGGAGGGUGGAAGGUGGCGUGUCAAAGAGAGUGGAGUUGGAGAGUGGAGUUGGAGAGUGGAGUUGGAGAGUGGAGUUCGAGAGUGGAGUCGAGUUAGAGAGUAGAGAGUUGGGGAGUGGAGAGUAGGAUGUGUUGAGGAGACGUUUGCGUCAGCAUUUUUGUGGACGUUGUGUAGACUUUCUGUGCACGAUCGUGUUGACAUUUUUGUGGAUGCUCAACAUUUUUGUGGGCAUUCUGCGGACGUUUGGAUCUUUGAUGUCAAGUGUCCAUCUUAUCUGGUGGAAUACUGUCUAGAAUCCUAGUCUGCCAUAAUCGGCUCCUAAUAGUCGAUUGUACCUGGAGGAUCGCCAUUGUUGCUGUAUGGAGAUGGUUGGUGCCACAGUAUCCAACACUUUUGGCACAAUACGGCAGAAUGAAGACCCUUGGCGCCCAUCAAGCCCCCUUGGAACAAUGGAGAGACCCUUGCCAACACUGGGACCGUUGUCAGACCGAGACAGAGUAUCAAGUGGGACCAACAUGAUGGUGAGCUCAGAUCAUGUUGGUGAGUUCUGAUCAUGUUGGUGAGUUCUGAUCACGUUGGUGAGUUCAGAUCAUGUUGGUGAGUUCAGAUCAUGUUCAACAUGUUGUAGAUGGAUGUCCAUUCUUCUAUAAAACUCCAUCGGUCGGUGAAUAUGUACAGUACGAUACUGUAUCCGGGUCCGAAAAAGUUGACCAGAUCAAAGUCUUUCUUUAUGAUGAUUGAGUGGAGACGGAGACGUCAGACUAAAGUGUCAACUUUCGGUACUGUACAGUGGCAUAUUGUCGAUAUUGAAAGUGGCAUACUGUCGAUACUAGUAGUGGCAUACAGUCGACGUGGUUCCAUACUGCUGACGUUAGACCCUCUUGAUGUCGUUUCACCUCAUCAUCAUUCACCGACUCGUGUGGACCUUACUAAGCGUCUCCAAAUACAACUCUCCAACAUGGUCGAAUUGCUUCCAAUCACAAGUUUUUAGUGCGCCUCGCUGCAUCACGCAAUCCCGCUCCAUUUCGUCCUUUGAAGGCUCAGUACAGUCUGCGUCCUGUAGCCAAUCGCGCCUUGUAAAUGUGUCUCACACCCUGCAAAACAGACACCCGUAAAAGUGAGACUGGAGAAACUUUUGUGGCAGGCGGUGAUUCUAAAGAAACGCUGUCGAAUAUGACUCAUUAGUGUCGGAGAUUUCAUUCUUCAGACUCAGUCUCACUUUUUUGUCACAGUACGGCGUUUGUUGACAACCAUCGGCAAAACGCCGUGCAUUGAUGCAGGGCUGUUGGACUCUGGAACAGCGCCAUGGGUCCACAAAAGGGCGUAAUUGACGUCAAUUCCGUAUAGAGACACUUGCCACAAGUUUACACAUUGGUUAAUCAACAGUUGCUAACCUUCCACCAACCAUCCAUCAACUUUCCUCCAACUCUUGUGGGCCGAGAAAGCUCUGCCGUCGCCAUGGUACUCCAAAUUCCAACCCACGGCCUCAAAAGACGGCAAACAAUGACAUACCCCGUAUUCACCGCGUCCUCAUAUCCCGCGCAUCGCCUUCGCAUUUCAUUACCCACCGAGAAUUGCUUUUUCCUCAAGCAGCACGCUCUUUGCAGACAGAUGCAGCCACCUGUCAAACUGUUUUAGAUGGUUUCACCCUCAUUGUCGGACGUGGCCCAGACCAAACUAGACCAGUAGGUACUUGCGGGGGUAUAUAUGAUUUCUGAGAGGUUUUUCGACUCCA